GGUUGUAUGGAGUAGUUGGUUAACUUAGGAGAUUCUGAUUGUUCGAGCUUGUAAGCUCAUCAAUACGAUUCGACUUCUCUUGCCCUGGGUUCGAAUCCCAGUACGACCU
RNAcentral lists this transfer RNA (109 nucleotides) under Ustilago trichophora. RNAcentral's name for it is "transfer RNA-Gln(CTG)". It matches the Rfam family "tRNA". From Rfam's summary of the family: Transfer RNA (tRNA) molecules are approximately 80 nucleotides in length. Lineage: Eukaryota; Fungi; Basidiomycota; Ustilaginomycetes; Ustilaginales; Ustilaginaceae. The record is from RNAcentral.